CAGCGCCACUAGUGGGAAUCAGCUUUAUUUGGCCUAAAGCGUCCGUAGCUGGUUUGAUAAAUCUUUUGUGAAAUCAUUGGGCUUAACCUAAUGGCAUGCAGGAGACACUAUUAAACUCGAGACCGGGAGAAGUUAGGAGUAUUUUUGGGGGAGCGGUAAAAUGCUAUAAUCCCAAACAGACUACCUGUGGCGAAGGCGCCUAACUAGAACGGAUCUGACAGUGAGGGACGAAAGCCAGGGGAGCGAUCCGGAUUAGAGACCCGAGUAGUCC
This 271-nucleotide ribosomal RNA is filed under the name uncultured archaeon. RNAcentral describes it as "partial 16S ribosomal RNA". It matches the Rfam family "Archaeal small subunit ribosomal RNA", at positions 477 to 747 of the family's 1478-position model. The record is from RNAcentral.